GACGAACGCUGGCGGCGUGCUUAACACAUGCAAGUCGAACGGGAAGGCCCUGCUUUUGUGGGGUGCUCGAGUGGCGAACGGGUGGGUAACACGUGAGUAACCUGCCCUUGACUUUGGGAUAACUUCAGGAAACUGGGGCUAAUACCGGAUAGGAGCUCCUGCUGCAUGGUGGGGGUUGGAAAGUUUCGGCGGUUGGGGAUGGACUCGCGGCUUAUCAGCUUGUUGGUGGGGUAGUGGCUUACCAAGGCUUUGACGGGUAGCCGGCCUGAGAGGGUGACCGGCCACAUUGGGACUGAGAUACGGCCCAGACUCCUACGGGAGGCAGCAGUGGGGAAUAUUGCACAAUGGGCGGAAGCCUGAUGCAGCAACGCCGCGUGCGGGAUGACGGCCUUCGGGUUGUAAACCGCUUUCGCCUGUGACGAAGCGUGAGUGACGGUAAUGGGUAAAGAAGCACCGGCUAACUACGUG
RNAcentral lists this ribosomal RNA (468 nucleotides) under uncultured bacterium. RNAcentral describes it as "partial 16S ribosomal RNA". It matches the Rfam family "Bacterial small subunit ribosomal RNA", at positions 28 to 507 of the family's 1533-position model. The record is from RNAcentral.